This 216-nucleotide long non-coding RNA is filed under the name Elaeis guineensis (African oil palm). RNAcentral describes it as "long non-coding RNA (EGUI_LNC044488)". Lineage: Eukaryota; Viridiplantae; Streptophyta; Magnoliopsida; Arecales; Arecaceae. The record is from RNAcentral.
GCCUAGGCUAGAAGACCAGUGAUAACAUGCUAGUAUUAGAGGAAGGGCCAAGCUGAUUUAUCAGAAGGAGCAAACAACCAGAUAUCAUGGCUUUAUGUAAAGAAACCUCAUCGCAUCAUUCAAACGCCAUUGCCUCGAGGCCAAUAGAGAUGCAAUACCCGAUCAUCGAGGUCCCUACCAACACCCAAUGCCAAUUCAACAACCAGAAGCACCACC